AGUGAACGCUGGCGGUAGGCCUAACACAUGCAAGUCGAACGGCAGCACAGUAAGAGCUUGCUCUUACGGGUGGCGAGUGGCGGACGGGUGAGGAAUACAUCGGAAUCUACUUUUUCGUGGGGGAUAACGUAGGGAAACUUACGCUAAUACCGCAUACGACCUACGGGUGAAAGCAGGGGAUCUUCGGACCUUGCGCGAUUGAAUGAGCCGAUGUCGGCUUAGCUAGUUGGCGGGGUAAAGGCCCACCAAGGCGACGAUCCGUAGCUGGUAUGAGAGGAUGAUCAGCCACACUGUAACUGAGACACGGUCCAGACUCCUACAGGAGGCAGCGGUGGGGAAUAUUGGACGAUGGGCACAAGCCUGAUCCAGCCAUACCGCGUGGGUGAAGAAGGCCUUCGGGUUGUAGAGCCCUUUUGUUGGGAAAGAAAAGCAGCAGGUUAAUACCCCGCUGUUCUGACGGUACCCAAAGAAUAAGCACCGGCUAGCUUCGUG
This 492-nucleotide ribosomal RNA is filed under the name uncultured bacterium. RNAcentral describes it as "partial 16S ribosomal RNA". It matches the Rfam family "Bacterial small subunit ribosomal RNA", at positions 29 to 507 of the family's 1533-position model. The record is from RNAcentral.